AGAGAGGAAAUGUUUUCUAAUUGAGUUAGCUAAGACGAAGAAGAAGAUUGUUCUUCUUCAAAAUUUCAUUUUUUAUUUUUAUUUUUAUUUUUAUUUGAGUGAAAGAGAGGAAAAUAUAUUUUUACCAGCCACCACCUCUUGUCUUUUUAUUGGGCUUUCCCUACUAGUCCUAAGUGGUCUCUUAUUUAUACCUUCCAAAUAGGGUUUUCUUAUUUAAUUAAUCUUAACUUUGCCCUUGGGCCUUGGUAUGCGGGCAUUCAUUUGAAAAAGAAAUUGAC
RNAcentral lists this long non-coding RNA (278 nucleotides) under Lathyrus oleraceus (garden pea). RNAcentral's name for it is "Pisum sativum (pea) long non-coding RNA (PSAT_LNC015382)". The record is from RNAcentral. Lineage: Eukaryota; Viridiplantae; Streptophyta; Magnoliopsida; Fabales; Fabaceae.